CUGUACGACCAUACCACCCUGGACGCGCCCGAUCUCGUCUGAUCUCGGAAGCUAAGCAGGGUCGGGUCUGGUUAGUACUUGGAUGGGGGAAUCCCAGUCACCUCUUGGCGUCCUCCUGA
This 119-nucleotide ribosomal RNA is filed under the name Sorex araneus (European shrew). Lineage: Eukaryota; Metazoa; Chordata; Mammalia; Eulipotyphla; Soricidae. The record is from RNAcentral.